Dermacentor silvarum is the source of this 331-nucleotide long non-coding RNA. RefSeq lists it as uncharacterized. Lineage: Eukaryota; Metazoa; Arthropoda; Arachnida; Ixodida; Ixodidae. The record is from RefSeq and is a predicted model, not a curated record. The transcript has 3 exons.
CUUUGCAAAUGCCAUCAAUAGUAAUGUUGAGAAGGAAAUUGCUCUGUCUCUUUCUGCUGCUAUAUGGAAAUAUUCAAUUCCGGCGAAAGAAGCCACAGACAACUGCAGUGGUUGGGCAGACAGCACAACGGAUAUUGUGGCAUGCGUGAACAGAGGGCAACGCUAUGAGCAGUGCAGGGUGCAGGGUAUGGUCCUGGUCGACAAUGAUAACAUCGCUGCACUGGUGAAAUACGCGAGAUCAAAAGACAUGAAUGCGUUUUGCAUACACAGUGCUGAACGGAUCCUGGACACACUCCCCCUCAACCGCAAAUUCCACCUCUUAAAUUUCACG